Molecule: small RNA, 144 nt
Filed under: Pseudorhizobium pelagicum
Lineage: Bacteria; Pseudomonadati; Pseudomonadota; Alphaproteobacteria; Hyphomicrobiales; Rhizobiaceae
Description: Alphaproteobacterial sRNA ar7
Rfam family: Alphaproteobacterial sRNA ar7
Source: Rfam by way of RNAcentral
UACCGGCGAAUGAUCACGCCGCAGUCUGGCAGUCGGCUCAUCCCCCGCCGCUCCAGACCGGACGAAGGCCUCAUCCCCCUCAGGGCCUUUGUCCAGACAUCGAACCGCUGCGGCCGAUCCCCCUCCCGGCCGUGGCGGUUUUGC